GACGAACGCUGGCGGCGUGCUUAACACAUGCAAGUCGAACGGAAAGGCCCUGCUUUUGUGGGGUGCUCGAGUGGCGAACGGGUGAGUAACACGUGAGUAACCUGCCCUUGACUUUGGGAUAACUUCAGGAAACUGGGGCUAAUACCGGAUAGGAGCUCCUGCUGCAUGGUGGGGGUUGGAAAGUUUCGGCGGUUGGGGAUGGACUCGCGGCUUAUCAGCUUGUUGGUGGGGUAGUGGCUUACCAAGGCUUUGACGGGUAGCCGGCCUGAGAGGGUGACCGGCCACAAUGGGACUGAGAUACGGCCCAGACGCCUACGGGAGGCAGCAGUGGGGAAUAUUGCACAAUGGGCGGAAGCCUGAGGCAGCAACGCCGCGUGCGGGAUGACGGCCUUCGGGUUGUAAACCGCUUUCGCCUGUGACGAAGCGUGAGUGACGGUAAUGGGUAAAGAAGCACCGGCUAACUACGUG
Molecule: ribosomal RNA, 468 nt
Filed under: uncultured bacterium
Lineage: Bacteria
Description: partial 16S ribosomal RNA
Rfam family: Bacterial small subunit ribosomal RNA
Source: RNAcentral